GAUGAACGCUGGCGGCGUGCCUAAUACAUGCAAGUCGAGCGAACAGAUGAGGAGCUUGCUCCUCUGACGUUAGCGGCGGACGGGUGAGUAACACGUGGAUAACCUACCUAUAAGACUGGGAUAACUUCGGGAAACCGGAGCUAAUACCGGAUAAUAUAUUAAACCGCAUGGUUCAAUAGUGAAAGACGGUUUUGCUGUCACUUAUAGAUGGAUCCGCGCCGCAUUAGCUAGUUGGUAAGGUAACGGCUUACCAAGGCAACGAUGCGUAGCCGACCUGAGAGGGUGAUCGGCCACACUGGAACUGAGACACGGUCCAGACUCCUACGGGAGGCAGCAGUAGGGAAUCUUCCGCAAUGGGCGAAAGCCUGACGGAGCAACGCCGCGUGAGUGAUGAAGGUCUUCGGGUCGUAAAACUCUGUUAUUAGGGAAGAACAAAUGUGGAAGUAACUAUGCACAUCAUGACGGUACCUAAUCAGAAAGCCACGGCUAACUACGUG
RNAcentral lists this ribosomal RNA (497 nucleotides) under uncultured bacterium. Its description in RNAcentral is "partial 16S ribosomal RNA". It matches the Rfam family "Bacterial small subunit ribosomal RNA", at positions 28 to 507 of the family's 1533-position model. The record is from RNAcentral.